RNAcentral lists this ribosomal RNA (491 nucleotides) under uncultured bacterium. RNAcentral describes it as "partial 16S ribosomal RNA". It matches the Rfam family "Bacterial small subunit ribosomal RNA", at positions 29 to 507 of the family's 1533-position model. The record is from RNAcentral.
GUGAACGCUGGCGGUAGGCCUAACACAUGCAAGUCGAACGGCAGCACAGUAAGCGCUUGCUCUUCCGGGUGGCGAGUGGCGGACGGGUGAGGAAUACAUCGGAAUCUACUUUUUCGUGGGGGAUAACGUAGGGAAACUUACGCUAAUACCGCAUACGACCUACGGGUGAAAGCAGGGGAUCUUCGGACCUUGCGCGAUUGAAUGAGCCGAUGUCGGAUUAGCUAGUUGGCGGGGUAAAGGCCCACCAAGGCGACGAUCCGUAGCUGGUCUGAGAGGAUGAUCAGCCACACUGGAACUGAGACACGGUCCAGACUCCUACGGGAGGCAGCAGUGGGGAAUAUUGGACAAUGGGCGUAAGCCUGAUCCAGCCAUACCGCGUGGGUGAAGAAGGCCUUCGGGUUGUAAAGCCCUUUUGUUGGGAAAGAAAAGCAGCAGGUUAAUACCCCGCUGUUCUGACGGUACCCAAAGAAUAAGCACCGGCUAACUUCGUG